GAUGAAGAACGUAGCGAAAUGCGAUAAGUAAUGUGAAUUGCAGAAUUCAGUGAAUCAUCGAAUCUUUGAACGCACAUUGCGCCCGCCAGUAUUCUGGCGGGCAUGCCUGUCCGAGCGUCAUUUCAACCCUCGAACCCCUCCGGGGGGUCGGCGUUGGGGAUCGGCCCUGCCUCUUGGCGGUGGCCGUCUCCGAAAUACAGUGGCGGUCUCGCCGCAGCCUCUCCUGCGCAGUAGUUUGCACACUCGCAUCGGGAGCGCGGCGCGUCCACAGCCGUUAAACACCCAACUUCUGAAAUGUUGACCUCGGAUCAGGUAGGAAUACCCGCUGAACUUAAGUAUAUCAAUAAGCGGAGGA
Molecule: unclassified non-coding RNA, 355 nt
Filed under: soil metagenome
Description: partial contains 5.8S ribosomal RNA, internal transcribed spacer 2, and large subunit ribosomal RNA
Rfam family: 5.8S ribosomal RNA (bases 1-120)
Source: RNAcentral